Megalopta genalis is the source of this 1379-nucleotide non-coding RNA. The record is from RefSeq and is a predicted model, not a curated record. NCBI's taxonomy places the organism in Eukaryota, Metazoa, Arthropoda, Insecta, Hymenoptera, Halictidae.
GCACCUUCUACUGAAAAUAUUUUAAACAUGUCAAAAGUUGAUAUAGAUGGAUUUAAUAUCCAUAAAAAUUUUGUUUGUAAGGAAAUGGCAAUCGUGAACGUGCACACAGGCUACGCUGCCCGCUACGAGUUUGAAUUAGACGUCCAAUACACAGCGAUUUGAGCGAUGCUGACAGGAAAUCUGCAUGGUAUGUCUCGAGUUUUAUACACGGGAUUCCAUUCAAAAAUUUUUCCGGGCAAGAUAAUUAUAAACAAAAACACAUUGGAAUGUUAGUUAAACUUUUCAUUCGCGGUUUCAAGGAUCCCGUAAUCGCGUAUAAGGGGGGUCAUAUUGAGAGGGGUUUAUUGCGCGAAAUUGGCGUACGGCAUGUAAAUUUAGAAUCUUUUGGUUGCCCUAAAUUCGAAUCUUUAAUCGCGGACCCGAAGUAUGGGCCAAUAGACCCACCAUGCAGGCUUCAUUGUUGGACGUUUAAUACAACAUCGAAGCGGAAGGCACCACAAUACCACUGUGCCCUCAGUGAAGUGCGAAUCUUUCGCAAAUGGUACCUGCAAGAAAGAGAGAGAGAAAACGUAAGCCUGCGUGCACUCCUCAGCGAGGUGCGAAUCUUUCGCAAAUGGUACCUGCAAGAAAGAGAGAGAGAGAGAGAGAGAGAGAGAGAGAGAGAGAGAAGACGUAAGCCUGUGCGAAUCUUUUUUUGGUCGAGGUUACGUCCUCAGGGAAAAAAUUAUAACAACGUGUCGAUCGGUGCUGAUACGAUGGAUGAGAAGAGCAUCAUCCUGAAGAGGAGGAGGAGGAGGAGGCUUACGAUUGCCAUCAACGGUUCAGUAUUACUGUACCAUCAGCGAGGUGUGCGUCUUUCAGAAGUGGUUCAUGGAAGAAAGAGAGGAGAAAAAAAGGAAUGAUGGAUUAUCGAAGUGAGGAGGAUAGGCUCCGAAGCUUUGAAUUUUGGCCUAUCGAAUUUAUUUAGCCGGAGGAGCUUGCAGCCGCAGGAUUUUAUUAUCUGGGGCAGGACGAUUUUCUAGCAUGUUUUGCAUGCGACAUCGAACUACAUCGGUGGCAGUAUAACGACAAAACCUAUGUCGGCGAAGAUUGUGGCAACAUGCCGAUCGGUGCUGAUUCUACAACGAUAUCAGUACCACCAUCACCAAGAAGCUGCGGCGUGGACGAGUGCGGUAUCUACGAUUAUACCAUGGAUGAGAAGAGAGCGUCAUACUGAAGAGGAGGAGGAGGCUUGCGAUUGCCAUCAACGACGCAUCGGCGAAAGAAGAGGAAGAAGAAGAUUACUUUUAUAAAAAAGUUUUUCAUAUUUUUUUUCGUAUAAAAACAUUGAUGCUGGCCAUAUAUUAAAAUUUUAAUAAAAAGUAUUCAGGAAACAUGUA